This 87-nucleotide transfer RNA is filed under the name Ovis aries (sheep). It matches the Rfam family "tRNA". From Rfam's summary of the family: Transfer RNA (tRNA) molecules are approximately 80 nucleotides in length. Their secondary structure includes four short double-helical elements and three loops (D, anti-codon, and T loops). The record is from Rfam by way of RNAcentral. Lineage: Eukaryota; Metazoa; Chordata; Mammalia; Artiodactyla; Bovidae.
UCCCUGGUGGCUGAGAGGUUAAAGCCUCUGCUGCAUUGCAGUCUGCCCGCAAUGCAGGAGACCUGGGUUCGAUCCCUGGAUAGGGAA